UACGUAGGGAGCAAGCGUUGUUCGGAGUUACUGGGCGUAAAGGGUGCGUAGGCGGCUUUUUAAGUUUGGUGUGAAAUCUCCCGGCUCAACUGGGAGGGUGCGCCGAAUACUGAGAGGCUAGAGUGUGGGAGAGGAAAGUGGAAUUCCUGGUGUAGCGGUGAAAUGCGUAGAUAUCAGGAGGAACACCGGUGGUGUAAACGGCUUUCUGGACCAUAACUGACGCUGAUGCACGAAAGCGUGGGUAGCAAACAGG
This 253-nucleotide ribosomal RNA is filed under the name uncultured bacterium. Its description in RNAcentral is "partial 16S ribosomal RNA". It matches the Rfam family "Bacterial small subunit ribosomal RNA", at positions 524 to 776 of the family's 1533-position model. The record is from RNAcentral.